Molecule: ribosomal RNA, 485 nt
Filed under: uncultured bacterium
Lineage: Bacteria
Description: bacterial SSU rRNA
Rfam family: Bacterial small subunit ribosomal RNA
Source: RNAcentral
UGAACGCUAGCGACAGGCUUAACACAUGCAAGUCGAGGGGUAACAGGGUAGCAAUACCGCUGACGACCGGCGCACGGGUGAGUAACGCGUAUGCAACCUGCCUAUAACUGGGGAAUAGCUCCCUGAAAGGGGAAUUAACACCGCAUAACACUAUUGAUUCGCAUGGAUUGGUAGUUAAAUGUAGCGAUACAGGUUAUAGAUGGGCAUGCGUGACAUUAGCUAGUUGGUGAGGUAACGGCUCACCAAGGCUACGAUGUCUAGGGGUUCUGAGAGGAAGGUCCCCCACACUGGUACUGAGACACGGACCAGACUCCUACGGGAGGCAGCAGUGAGGAAUAUUGGUCAAUGGGCGCAAGCCUGAACCAGCCAUGUCGCGUGCAGGAAGACUGCCCUAUGGGUUGUAAACUGUCUUUUAUAGUAGAAGAAACACAUCUACGAGUAGAUGUCUGCCAGUAUACUAUGAAUAAGCAUCGGCUAACUCCGUG